RNAcentral lists this ribosomal RNA (395 nucleotides) under uncultured bacterium. RNAcentral's name for it is "bacterial SSU rRNA". It matches the Rfam family "Bacterial small subunit ribosomal RNA", at positions 505 to 898 of the family's 1533-position model. The record is from RNAcentral.
GUGUCAGCAGCCGCGGUAAUACGUAGGGGGCAAGCGUUGUCCGGAUUUACUGGGUGUAAAGGGAGCGUAGGCGGGUAUUUAAGUCAGAUGUGAAAACUAUGGGCUCAACCCAUAGACUGCAUUUGAAACUGGAUAUCUUGAGUGCAGGAGAGGAAAGCGGAAUUCCUAGUGUAGCGGUGAAAUGCGUAGAUAUUAGGAGGAACACCAGUGGCGAAGGCGGCUUUCUGGACUGUAACUGACGCUGAGGCUCGAAAGUGUGGGGAGCAAACAGGAUUAGAUACCCUGGUAGUCCACACCGUAAACGAUGGAUACUAGGUGUAGGAGGUAUCGACCCCUUCUGUGCCGGAGUUAACACAAUAAGUAUCCCACCUGGGGAGUACGGCCGCAAGGUUGAA